CCUACGGGAGGCAGCAGUGAGGAAUAUUGGUCAAUGGCCGUAAGGCUGAACCAGCCAAGUCGCGUGAAGGAAGAAGGAUCUAUGGUUUGUAAACUUCUUUUAUAGGGGAAUAAAGUUAUCCACGUGUGGAUUUUUGCAUGUACCCUAUGAAUAAGCAUCGGCUAACUCCGUGCCAGCAGCCGCGGUAAUACGGAGGAUGCGAGCGUUAUCCGGAUUUAUUGGGUUUAAAGGGUGCGUAGGUUGUUUUUUAAGUCAGCGGUGAAAGUUUGUGGCUCAACCAUAAAAUUGCCGUUGAAACUGGAAGACUUGAGUGUGUUUGAGGUAGGCGGAAUGCGUGGUGUAGCGGUGAAAUGCAUAGAUAUCACGAAGAACGCCGAUUGCGAAGGCAGCUUACUAAGCCAUAACUGACACUGAAGCACGAAAGCGUGGGGAUCAAACAGGAUUAGAUACCCCUGUAGUC
This 460-nucleotide ribosomal RNA is filed under the name uncultured bacterium. RNAcentral describes it as "partial 16S ribosomal RNA". It matches the Rfam family "Bacterial small subunit ribosomal RNA", at positions 338 to 795 of the family's 1533-position model. The record is from RNAcentral.